This 73-nucleotide transfer RNA is filed under the name Escherichia coli. RNAcentral describes it as "tRNA-Lys". It matches the Rfam family "tRNA". From Rfam's summary of the family: Transfer RNA (tRNA) molecules are approximately 80 nucleotides in length. Their secondary structure includes four short double-helical elements and three loops (D, anti-codon, and T loops). RNAcentral also lists the same sequence under 2 other names. Lineage: Bacteria; Pseudomonadati; Pseudomonadota; Gammaproteobacteria; Enterobacterales; Enterobacteriaceae. The record is from RNAcentral.
UGCAGGUAUCGUAUAGUGGCUAUUACCUCAACCUUUUAGGUUGAUGAUGCAGGUUCGAUUCCUGUUCUCGUAA